AUGAGAAAGAAUGGAGAUCACCUAUCCCAUAUUCUAUGUCUCAUUGUACAUUUGAGUACAGAGUUUGCUGAUUCCUUAAGAAAAGGCUCAUUAUGGUUGGAUGUCUAAUUGUUUAGGAAGUAAAGAUGGUGCCUUAUACCUAAAAAUUGGUGGUCAAUUUUUGGGAUUUGGUCUUGUUUAGGUUUGAACAUCAAGGUUGCGCCUUAAAAGGUGCUACUACGUGAAGGACUAUUUCAACAUUUUAGAGCAUUCUCUAUUUUCCAUUCUGUUGGAAUGUGUUAUGGUAUUAUCUUGUUUUAUCUGAUAUGGUAGGAAAGAUUUUAUCAAAUAUCUUAAUACAUUAAUAUUACUAUGGACUUUGGUACAAAAAGGUGUAGAGCUUCAGGCACAAAGAGAAACAUCAGCCCCCAUCGUCCUAUGAUCCAUUUGUCUCCUCUAAGAUUGGUUCCAUGAUGCAAUAAUUUUCACAGAAGGAAAUCAGGGUGGGUUUGGUGUUGUAGCACAUGACUAUGAAGGCACGGUCAUGAUUCAGGCGUAACUCAGCAUUCACGGUCACCUAGGCCAGCAUCACACGAUCACGAUAGGCACUAUGGACCAUCUGACUCAACCAACUUGGCACGAUGGCUUGGUUACAUCAGACCUCAUGGCCUUCUCUUUAAAAUUCUUGGGCUAUAUUUUAGUUAUCAUUUGGUUAUCAUCAUUAAGAGUAGUUACUUAGUGAGUUAGUUAUAACCUCAUUGCCUUAGAGUUUGCUUGUUUAUCAAGCAACCCUGUUUUUCAUUACCUUAUAUAAAAGGAAUUAGAGCUUAUGCCUCCAUU
Molecule: non-coding RNA, 819 nt
Organism: Lupinus albus (white lupine)
Lineage: Eukaryota; Viridiplantae; Streptophyta; Magnoliopsida; Fabales; Fabaceae
Source: the annotation of a GenBank genome assembly